This is a long non-coding RNA of Sorghum bicolor (sorghum), 382 nucleotides long. RefSeq lists it as uncharacterized. The transcript has 2 exons. The record is from RefSeq and is a predicted model, not a curated record. Lineage: Eukaryota; Viridiplantae; Streptophyta; Magnoliopsida; Poales; Poaceae.
AUGAUGGAAAGGGAGAAGGAGGAAGCACUGUUCUGGAGUCUCAAGUUGCCACUGCCGUCGGUGAUCUACACGGCGGGAGUGUCCUUCUUCCCCUUCAUCUACUACAAGACACAGGAAGUCUACAACAUGCUCAAGGGGCUUCGGCGCCAGCCCUCAAGGCGCCACGGGCGCCAUGAGUCUCCUAUCCUGGAACUGUCAGGGCGUCGGCGGGAGCCUUGACAGUCCAAAGAUGCGUCAUCUCGCCAGGCUCAUCAACUCUACGAAUGCUCAGCUGAAGGUCUUUCUGGUGGUCUAUGGCUUCUAUCUAGGGAUCAAGUAGAGGUUUCAGUUAUCGAGUCCUGUAAUUUUUAUUUCUUAGCUAUUUGCUACCACAAGCAUGUCA